Molecule: non-coding RNA, 48 nt
Filed under: Trichobilharzia regenti
Lineage: Eukaryota; Metazoa; Platyhelminthes; Trematoda; Strigeidida; Schistosomatidae
Source: RNAcentral
AGCCAGCUGACGAGUCCCAAGCAGGACGAAGUGCGCUUUAUCCUGGAU